Molecule: small RNA, 28 nt
Filed under: Bombyx mori (domestic silkworm)
Lineage: Eukaryota; Metazoa; Arthropoda; Insecta; Lepidoptera; Bombycidae
Description: ovarian small RNA-17959
Source: RNAcentral
GUGUUCGUGCUCGCAAUUAUAGCGUUUC